RNAcentral lists this small RNA (1543 nucleotides) under Pongo abelii (Sumatran orangutan). Its description in RNAcentral is "retained intron". Lineage: Eukaryota; Metazoa; Chordata; Mammalia; Primates; Hominidae. The record is from RNAcentral.
GCUGGUCUCAAACUCCUCACCUUAGGUGAUCCACCCGCCUCGACCUCCCAAAGCGCUGGGAUUACAGGCGUGAGCCAUCACACCCAGCCCAAUGCUGACAUUUCCUUAAAGAGUUCUUUCAUAACAAGCGUCAGUUAUUAUUUGGUGCCAGGCUUUGCAGAAAUGAGUGUUUACUUUCAGCUGCACAAGUGAUGACUAGAGGGAAAAAAAACUGCUGGUAAGGGAAGUGUUGACUGUUGCUGGUUGAAUAUUAAAAUUGUACCAGCUUUCAGCUUGUUGCACUUUAGUACCUUCUGCCAGUUCAAGUAAAAACUCUGUUGUAGCCCAGGAAAUACUGUAAAUGUGGAAUAUUGACUUACAGAGUGCGAUUAGCCUACCAAUCAGCUUCAGUAGAUGUGACUUUUGGUGGUUGCUUUCUCUCCUAAGUAUAAAUUUUAAAAGCUGAUGAGAAUGAAUAAAGCCAUGCAUAUUGAAUGUAAAGCAGAUUUUCAGAGUAUCUAUCUUAAUUUUUUUCCUUUUCUCCGUUGGUUUACAUAGGCUGAUGCGGAUAGUUUUUAUAUGGCAUGCAAUGGCCGCCAGUUCAACUCAAUAGAAGAUGACGUUUGCCAGCUAGUGUAUGUGGAAAGAGCUGAAGUGCUCAAAUCUGAAGAUGGCGCCAGCCUCCCAGUGAUGGACCUGACUGAGCUCCCCAAGUGCACGGUGUGUCUAGAGCGCAUGGACGAGUCUGUGAAUGGCAUCCUCACAACGUUAUGUAACCACAGCUUCCACAGCCAGUGUCUACAGCGUUGGGACGACACCACGUGUCCUGUUUGCCGGUACUGUCAAACGCCCGAGCCAGUAGAAGAAAAUAAGUGUUUUGAGUGUGGUGUUCAGGAAAAUCUUUGGAUUUGUUUAAUAUGCGGCCACAUAGGAUGUGGACGGUAUGUCAGUCGACAUGCUUAUAAGCACUUUGAGGAAACGCAGCACACGUAUGCCAUGCAGCUUACCAACCAUCGAGUCUGGGACUAUGCUGGAGAUAACUAUGUUCAUCGACUGGUUGCAAGUAAAACAGAUGGAAAAAUAGUACAGUAUGAAUGUGAGGGGGAUACUUGCCAGGAAGAGAAAAUAGAUGCCUUACAGUUAGAGUAUUCAUAUUUACUAACAAGCCAGCUGGAAUCUCAGCGAAUCUACUGGGAAAACAAGAUAGUUCGGAUAGAGAAGGACACAGCAGAGGAAAUUAACAACAUGAAGACCAAGUUUAAAGAAACGAUUGAGAAGUGUGAUAAUCUAGAGCACAAACUAAAUGAUCUCCUAAAAGAAAAGCAGUCUGUGGAAAGAAAGUGCACUCAGCUAAACACAAAAGUGGCCAAACUUACCAACGAGCUCAAAGAGGAGCAGGAAAUGAACAAGUGUUUGCGAGCCAACCAAGUCCUCCUGCAGAACAAGCUAAAAGAGGAGGAGAGGAUUUUGAAGGAGACCUGUGACCAAAAAGAUCUGCAGAUCACCGAGAUCCAGGAGCAGCUGCGUGAUGUCAUGUUCUACCUGGAGACCCAGCAGAAGAUCA